AUGCUCCUCCCAAUGCGCCGCCUCGCCUCUUCUCCUUCCCUCCCAGCCAUCUACCCGCACAUCUCCCCUGCGCGGCGCUCCCUUGGGCUCCGGCGACAACAUGGUCGAGGGGCGUCGGCAAGGAGGACGUCAGCGACGCCUGUGGUAUGCUGCUUGGGUUCCCUGCCCGUGGCCAGUCAGUCGAGCCAAUCGACAAUGACCGGAGCGAAUCCGGUGACGGUGGCGGGCACAGAGAGACCAUCGGAGUGGAGCGGGGACGCGAUACGCCGGCGUUUCCUUGAUUUCUACGCCGCCCGUGGCCACAAGAUACUUCCGAGCUCGUCACUCGUGCCCGAUGACCCCACCGUGUUCCUCACCAUAGCUGGGAUGCUUCAGUUCAAGCCUAUAUUUCUUGGCAAGGAACCUAGGCGUGUACCAUGUGCCACCACCUCCCAGAAAUGUAUACGGACAAAUGACAUUGAGAAUGUGGGACGCACAUCCCGACAUCAAACCUUCUUUGAGAUGCUUGGGAACUUCAGCUUUGGCGAUUACUUCAAGAAGGACGCAAUCAAAUGGGCAUGGGAGCUGACAACCAAGGAGUAUGGAUUACCCCCAGAAAGAUUGUGGAUUAGUGUAUUUGAAGAUGACGACGAGGCAUUCUCUAUUUGGCUCAAUGAGGUUGGUGUACCAAAGGAACGGAUAAAGAGGAUGGGCGAGGAUGAUAAUUUUUGGACUAGUGGUGCAACUGGACCUUGCGGACCAUGUUCUGAAAUGUAUUAUGAUUUCCAUCCUGAGAGAGGAUCCUUGAAUGCGGAUUUGAAUGAUGAUAGCCGAUUUAUCGAAUUCUAUAAUCUUGUCUUCAUGCAAUACAACAAAAAUGAUGAUGGAUCUCUAGAACCAUUGAAACAAAAGAACAUUGAUACAGGAAUGGGGCUUGAGCGUAUGGCGCGCAUUCUUCAAAAUGUUCCAAACAAUUACGAGACAGACUUGAUUUUCCCAAUAAUGGAAAAGGCAGCAAGCAUGGCGCUAGUUUCCUACGGUAAAGCUGAUGAUGCUAUGAGGACAAAUCUUAAAGUAAUUGGUGAUCACAUGAGGGCAGUUGUUUAUCUCAUAUCAGAUGGGGUCAUCCCCUCGAAUAUUGGGAGAGGAUAUGUUGUUCGAAGGCUUAUAAGAAGGGUCGUCCGGACUGGUAGAUUGAUAGGUAUGAGAGGUGAUGGGCAUGAGAACUCUGAAGGUGCAUUUUUACCUUCUCUAGCUGAGACAGUAAUUAGCCUUAGCAGUGAGAUAGAUCCAGAUGUUGAAUCAAGGCGGAAAUCAAUUCUUGGAGAACUUCUAAGGGAAGAGCUGCGAUUUGUACAGACUCUGGGAAGAGGUGAAAAGUUAUUAGAUGAACUUUUGGAUGAGGCAUUAGGUAGUGCUGGCGGGGACAAGCCUUGCCUAUCUGGAAAAGAUGUAUUUCUUUUAUAUGAUACAUAUGGUUUCCCCAUUGAGAUUACAGCUGAAAUAGCUAGUGAACGGGAUGUUACUAUUGAUAUGAAGGGGUUUGAUAUUGAAAUGGAAAACCAAAGAAAACAAUCUCAGGCUGCUCACAAUGUUAUCAAACUUUCUGUGGGAAAUGAGACCGAGAUUGUCAAAAGUAUCCCUGAUACUGAAUUUUUAGGGUAUGAGUCCCUUUUUGCAACAGCUGUUGUUAAAGCUCUUUUAAUUAAUGGAAACCCAGUAGAAAAUGUUUCAGAAGGUACUGAUGUGGAAAUACUAUUAGACCGAACACCGUUCUAUGCUGAAUCAGGUGGUCAAGUUGGAGACAAUGGUUUCUUAUAUGUGUAUGGAGAGGAAGGUGGGAAACAAAAUGCAGUCAUACAAAUCAAAGAUGUCCAAAAAUCCCUGGGAAACAUCUUUGUUCACAAAGGCACAAUUAAACAGGGGUCAGUCGAGGUUGGAAAGAAAAUCGACGCUGCAGUUGAUGGAAAACUGAGGCAGGGAGCCAAGGCUCAUCAUACUGCUACACAUCUACUACAGUCCGCUCUUAAAAGUGUCAUUGGUUCAGAGACAUCACAGGCUGGAUCCCUUGUGGCUUUUGACCGCCUCCGAUUUGACUUCAGUUUCCAUCGGCCCCUUACAGAAAAGGAGUUACUGGAAAUUGAAUCACUGGUGAACCAAUGGAUUAGCGACGCAACACAUCUCGAGACAAAUGUGAUGGCAUUGCAAGAUGCGAAAAAUGCUGGUGCCACUGCAAUGUUCGGAGAAAAAUAUGGUGAACAGGUUAGAGUUGUCGAGGUCCCUGGGGUGUCGAUGGAACUGUGUGGUGGAACUCAUGUCAGUAAUACUGCGGAGAUCCGUGGAUUCAAGAUAAUCUCAGAACAGGGAAUAGCUUCUGGAGUCAGAAGGAUCGAGGCAGUUGCAGGUGAUGCGUUUGUUGAGUAUGUUUGUUCACGGGACAACUACAUGCGACACUUAUGCUCUUCGCUUAAGGUCAAAGCAGAAGAUGUCAACAGCAGAGUAGAAACAAUUCUUGAAGAACUAAGAACAGCGAGAAAUGAAGCAUCAUCUCUACACAGCAAAAUCGCAGUGCUUAAAGCAGCAUCCCUGGCAAGUAAAGCUGUACUCGUUGAACCUCAUAAUGUCAGGAUCCUAGUUGAGAACAUGGGGGACGUGGAUGCUGAUGCGCUGAAAAGCGCAGCCGAGCAUCUCGUGGGAACCCUCCAAGACCCAGCCGCGGUGAUUUUAGGUUCAAGUCCAGGAGACGGUAAGGUGAGCCUGGUCGCUGCCUUCAGUCCUGGAGUCGUGAAAUUGGGAGUGCAAGCGGGCAAGUUUGUGGGUGGAAUAGCGAAACUUUGCGGUGGAGGUGGUGGCGGCAAACCGAACUUUGCUCAGGCUGGCGGUCGGAAGCCAGAGAACUUACCAGAUGCCCUAGAGAAGGCUAGAGCUGAAAUUGUUGCAGUGGUAUCUUCAAAAGCCAGCUGA
Molecule: ribosomal RNA, 2943 nt
Filed under: Triticum aestivum (bread wheat)
Lineage: Eukaryota; Viridiplantae; Streptophyta; Magnoliopsida; Poales; Poaceae
Description: partial small subunit ribosomal RNA
Source: RNAcentral